CUCCCGAACACCAGCGCUCCACGCGGCGCCCAGAAACCGCCCGGCAGCAACAAGACCCAACUCCUCUGGGCUGGGCACCUUGGUAGGCAUGCGCCAUCGCAACGGCCCCCAGCGACCAGCACGCAGUCCCUGCCCUCAGAGCUCAGCGUUUGUGAAAAAAAACGUCAGGCAGAGAGGGCACGUGCGCUCAGCAGACAGCGAGAAAUCACCCC
Molecule: long non-coding RNA, 212 nt
Organism: Tupaia belangeri chinensis (Chinese tree shrew)
Lineage: Eukaryota; Metazoa; Chordata; Mammalia; Scandentia; Tupaiidae
Exons: 3
Source: RefSeq, a predicted model, not a curated record